Gossypium arboreum is the source of this 145-nucleotide microRNA precursor. It matches the Rfam family "MIR7502 microRNA precursor family". NCBI's taxonomy places the organism in Eukaryota, Viridiplantae, Streptophyta, Magnoliopsida, Malvales, Malvaceae. The record is from Rfam.
UGUUAAUAAUCUCAUCUAUUUGUACUGUUAAAAAUUGACGUGGUUGACGAAAUUACCAAACAGUGAUAUGUAACAUGCCACUUGUACAUUAUGCUGAUGUAUAGGGAUCAAUUUUGAACAGUAAAAAUGAAUUAAAUUUUUAACA